AAAAUUCUAUUAAGCCAAGAAAGUUCGAAAUCUUUUAAUAAAGGUCGAAUCCCUCUGAUUCUUAUGUAGUUUUGCUUUACUUUAAAAAGGCGGAAUGUCAUAUUCAAUGUUUUGCGAAAUACUUGAA
This is a long non-coding RNA of Rhagoletis zephyria (snowberry fruit fly), 127 nucleotides long. RefSeq lists it as uncharacterized. NCBI's taxonomy places the organism in Eukaryota, Metazoa, Arthropoda, Insecta, Diptera, Tephritidae. The record is from RefSeq and is a predicted model, not a curated record.